This 1225-nucleotide long non-coding RNA is filed under the name Takifugu rubripes (torafugu). RNAcentral's name for it is "lncRNA (ENSTRUG00000031902.1)". Lineage: Eukaryota; Metazoa; Chordata; Actinopteri; Tetraodontiformes; Tetraodontidae. The record is from RNAcentral.
GGUGCAGUGUAAAGAUUUAUUGUAAUAACCAAAUUAUAAAUGCUGACCAUCUUCACAAUAUAUUGAUUAAACCAGACAUUUAUGAAACAUUCCACCACCAAGCUUUAUCAAGAACAUUGGUCGCACAUCGAUAUUUACUCAAAGUUGUUUGAAAUUUUAACUCAAGGUUGAAACUAUAACAGCGGCUUGAUACUUUGUUUUCCUGUAAAAUUAUAAAUGAAUGCUGGUUAAUAUUGCAAACCCGGACUGGUAAAGCCAUAAAGUCACUAAUUAAAUGAGUAUUAAUAAUAUAGAGAGUAUAGAAAGAAGAUUUUAAUGUAGCUACAUCUAUUCAGUUUACCUUUAUGCUAACCUAUAGCUUCAGUUUUGACCAGAUAUACCAUGGCCAUAGAAGCUAAACUUGAUUUGAUUAUCUGAAUAACUACAGGAGUGUGUGGUGUUUAUAUCCACAUUGGGUGUUUUAUUGUAGUGAUGACUAUUAGCAUACCGUUAAACUUUGGACAUUAUGUGUUUAAAAAAAGCAAUGGUACUAUGAUGAAAACAUAAAGUGGAGGACAUAUUUGUAGCUCUUUAAACCAACAAAUAAUUGCCGAGCUUGUGUCUGUUAUUUUAUUGCCCUUUCCCUCCCAAUAAAUCCAUCGAAUCUGACAGAUCUGAAACAUACACUUGUUUGUGUGUGUAUGUAGAAAUAUAGCAGGAUUUUGAAUUUUGGUGGUGCAGUUGGUGAGUAAAGCCCCUCGGAGCACCGAUGAAUUCUCUUGCACGUUCUGUCCGCCCUCAUUGUCUCCAUGUGAACCCACACGGCUGCUCUCACAUCCAGAUGUGCUGACGGCCACGGUGAGCUUUUGGGGCCGCAGGCCUCGAUGACCUUAAGGGCUUUCAGAAGCGUGCUCGCCGACACCCCCUUACAUGCUGCUGAGAGUCAUCAGUUAUGCAGGGGAACCGCUCGCACUAAGGGGGGAGAUAGCAGCAACAAUAUGGCGACAACCGCAGUUUCUCCCAAAUCCUCCUCGCAUCCGCAGUCCUGCAGCGGCUCCCUGGGUUCCGUGUAAAGCUUUCUCGGCAGGCGGCUCUGAAAUCUUGCAACUCUAUGCAUGUUGUCACGUGGCGAGCGCCACAGUGAAGUGUGGGAUUUUACAUUUGUGCCAAAAAUCUGGAACUUAUGAAUAUCUUCAUCAAUUCAGCAGAGCAGCUAAUGCUGUGGAUGGUACAGACCUAAAGACCA